CACACGACUCUCGGCAACGGAUAUCUCGGAUCUCGCAUCGAUGAAGAACGUAGCAAAAUGAGAUACCUGGUGUGAAUUGCAGAAUCCCGCGAACCAUCGAGUUUUUGAACGCAAGUUGCGCCCGAGGCCUUCUGGCUGAGGGCACGCCUGCCUGGGCGUCACGC
This 164-nucleotide ribosomal RNA is filed under the name Cortaderia selloana. RNAcentral describes it as "5.8S ribosomal RNA". It matches the Rfam family "5.8S ribosomal RNA". Rfam says of the family: 5.8S ribosomal RNA (5.8S rRNA) is a component of the large subunit of the eukaryotic ribosome. It is transcribed by RNA polymerase I as part of the 45S precursor that also contains 18S and 28S rRNA. Lineage: Eukaryota; Viridiplantae; Streptophyta; Magnoliopsida; Poales; Poaceae. The record is from RNAcentral.